GAAGUAGGACCCGAUGCACUAGCA
This 24-nucleotide non-coding RNA is filed under the name Arabidopsis thaliana (thale cress). Lineage: Eukaryota; Viridiplantae; Streptophyta; Magnoliopsida; Brassicales; Brassicaceae. The record is from RNAcentral.